UUUUUCUCCCCGCAGUGUUCUGAAAUUUCACAGAACUUGGUGUGCAUGUGUUUUCAUUUAUCAGUGGACCUUUUUCAAUCUGGCAGUUUAUUUCCUUCAGUUCUGACAAAUGUUCUUGCUUUAUUUUGCACUUGUUUUCUUUGUCUGUUUUCUCUUCUCCUAUUCUGUAACUUCUGUUCUUGGAUGUUGGGCUUCCUGGAUUGGUCCUCGAAUUUUUUUUAUCUGUUUUUCCUAUUUCCUCCUUGCACCCCAGGAGGCAAUUUCCUCAUACUUAGUAUUUAACCUGUUAUUAGAUUUGUUAUUUCUGCUACAGUGUUUUUAAAUUUUAAGAGUUCUAUUAUAUUUUCCAAAUUUCUGUCUCUUAGUCUCCUUUUAUGCUAUUUUUCUUCUCUUUGAGUAUAUUAACAAUAGUUUUUCCUUACUGCUCUACAUAAUCUUUUCCUUUCUCAGCUGGUAAUCCUUGGCUAUCUUCUAGUGUUUAAAUGGAGGGGACUGAUUACUGAUUGAAAACUCUGCCAUUUGAAUUAGAAUUUGUAUUUAGUUUUAGGGUUUUUAAAAAAUUGUUUUUUUGUGGUAUACUUUACAUGUAGUAAGAUGCAAAGAACUCAGUGAUUUAUACUUCAGUGAGUUUUGACAGAUGUAUAUAUCUGGGUGACCAAAACCCUAAUCAAGAUAAAGAAAAUGUCCAUCAAUCUAGACUAUUCCUAGGUGUUCUUUCUGGUCAUUCCCUACCCCCACAUGACCAAAUCCCUCACAGAGGCAGCCACUUUCUGAUGUUUUGCCCCAUAGACCAGUUUUGACUAUUAUUUAUUUUUAUUUUAUUUUAUUUUUUAGUUGUAGAUGGACACAAUACCUUUAUUUUGCUUAUUUAUGUGUUGUGCUGAGGAUUG
This 890-nucleotide long non-coding RNA is filed under the name Marmota monax (woodchuck). The record is from RNAcentral. Lineage: Eukaryota; Metazoa; Chordata; Mammalia; Rodentia; Sciuridae.